GGAAGCUUAGCUCAGCUGGGAGAGCAUCUGCCUUACAAGCAGAGGGUCACAGGUUCGAUCCCUGUAGUUUCCACCA
RNAcentral lists this transfer RNA (76 nucleotides) under Clostridia bacterium. Its description in RNAcentral is "tRNA-Val". It matches the Rfam family "tRNA". Rfam says of the family: Transfer RNA (tRNA) molecules are approximately 80 nucleotides in length. Their secondary structure includes four short double-helical elements and three loops (D, anti-codon, and T loops). Further hydrogen bonds mediate the characteristic L-shaped molecular structure. tRNAs have two regions of fundamental functional importance: the anti-codon, which is responsible for specific mRNA codon recognition, and the 3' end, to which the tRNAs corresponding amino acid is attached (by aminoacyl-tRNA synthetases). tRNAs cope with the degeneracy of the genetic code in two manners: having more than one tRNA (with a specific anti-codon) for a particular amino acid; and 'wobble' base-pairing, i.e. permitting non-standard base-pairing at the 3rd anti-codon position. Lineage: Bacteria; Bacillati; Bacillota; Clostridia. RNAcentral also lists the same sequence under 2 other names. The record is from RNAcentral.